CCCGAAACCCAUCCCCGAAGCAGACUGACUUGUCCCUCCAGAAGGUGGGACUGAUGGCGGCCGGUCAUGCCCAGCUUGGGCCCGACAGUCCCUUCAGACCCCAGAAAGGCAAGAGGCCACAAACAGCAGGACUGGCCCUCGGAGUUCCCAGUCCAGAGGAGGAGGAUCCCAGGGUAAAGUGCAGGGACUGUGGGGCCUUUGGACACAAGGCAUCAAGCACCAGAUGCCCCAUAAAACACUGGGGCACGACCCUUGUUCCUGUGACCUUGGGCUCCAGGAGGCUGAAGGGAAUGUGAAGCCAGGGAGUCAGUGGGACCAGCGGCACCAGGCUGGGCGAUUGGACCAGGCUGAGAGGGAGAAGGCAGAGAGACGAAGGCAAGAAGCCGAGCAGAGGAAGGCCCUGCUCCACAGGUUCCCCAGGAGACCCCGAAGGGGCAGAAGUGCACCUGGAAGGAAGACACAGAAUCUUGUGAUUAUGUGAGGGAGCUACCACCAUGACUACAGCAGCAGGACUCCUAUUGCCUCAUGAGCAGAACGGAUCGAAGAGCUGGUCCAAUGGAGAAGCAUCGCUGUGAGGCAGGACUUUGCGUGUCUCCCCCCCCCCCCAUGUCUCAAGUGCAUCAACAGCAUCCUGUCAGGCCUUUGUUCCAGAACAACCCUGCAGCCAGAUUCCCUACUCCUAGGUCAACA
Canis lupus familiaris (dog) is the source of this 690-nucleotide long non-coding RNA. RefSeq lists it as uncharacterized. The record is from RefSeq and is a predicted model, not a curated record. NCBI's taxonomy places the organism in Eukaryota, Metazoa, Chordata, Mammalia, Carnivora, Canidae. The transcript is spliced from 4 exons.